UAGGGAAUCUUCCACAAUGGACGCAAGUCUGAUGGAGCAACGCCGCGUGAGUGAAGAAGGUUUUCGGAUCGUAAAGCUCUGUUGUUGGUGAAGAAGGAUAGAGGUAGUAACUGGCCUUUAUUUGACGGUAAUCAACCAGAAAGUCACGGCUAACUACGUGCCAGCAGCCGCGGUAAUCGUAGGUGGCAAGCGUUGUCCGGAUUUAUUGGGCGUAAAGCGAGCGCAGGCGGAAGAAUAAGUCUGAUGUGAAAGCCCUCGGCUUAACCGAGGAAUUGCAUCGGAAACUGUUUUCUUGAGUGCAGAAGAGGAGAGUAGAACUCCAUGUGUAGCGGUGGAAUGCGUAGAUAUAUGGAAGAAUACCAGUGGCGAAGGCGGCUCUCUGGUCUGCAACUGACGCUGAGGCUCGAAAGCAUGGGUAGCGAACAGGAUUAGAUACCCUGGUAGUCCAUGCCGUAAACGAUGAGUGCUAAGUGUUGGGAGGCUUCCGCCUCUCAGUGCUGCAGCUAACGCAUUAAGCACUCCGCCUGGGGGAGUACGACCGCAAGGUUGAAAC
RNAcentral lists this ribosomal RNA (553 nucleotides) under uncultured bacterium. RNAcentral describes it as "partial 16S ribosomal RNA". It matches the Rfam family "Bacterial small subunit ribosomal RNA", at positions 355 to 900 of the family's 1533-position model. The record is from RNAcentral.